RNAcentral lists this ribosomal RNA (547 nucleotides) under Microbacterium sp. SB13T. RNAcentral's name for it is "bacterial SSU rRNA". It matches the Rfam family "Bacterial small subunit ribosomal RNA", at positions 82 to 642 of the family's 1533-position model. Lineage: Bacteria; Bacillati; Actinomycetota; Actinomycetes; Micrococcales; Microbacteriaceae. The record is from RNAcentral.
GCUGGGUGGAUCAGUGGCGAACGGGUGAGUAACACGUGAGCAACCUGCCCCUGACUCUGGGAUAAGCGCUGGAAACGGCGUCUAAUACUGGAUACGAGACGUGAUCGCAUGGUCGACGUUUGGAAAGAUUUUUUGGUUGGGGAUGGGCUCGCGGCCUAUCAGCUUGUUGGUGAGGUAAUGGCUCACCAAGGCGUCGACGGGUAGCCGGCCUGAGAGGGUGACCGGCCACACUGGGACUGAGACACGGCCCAGACUCCUACGGGAGGCAGCAGUGGGGAAUAUUGCACAAUGGGCGGAAGCCUGAUGCAGCAACGCCGCGUGAGGGAUGACGGCCUUCGGGUUGUAAACCUCUUUUAGCAAGGAAGAAGCGAGAGUGACGGUACUUGCAGAAAAAGCGCCGGCUAACUACGUGCCAGCAGCCGCGGUAAUACGUAGGGCGCAAGCGUUAUCCGGAAUUAUUGGGCGUAAAGAGCUCGUAGGCGGUUUGUCGCGUCUGCUGUGAAAUCCCGAGGCUCAACCUCGGGUCUGCAGUGGGUACGGGCAGACU